UACAGAGGGGGCAAGCGUUAUUCGGAAUUAUUGGGCGUAAAGGGCGCGUAGGCGGCCUGGCAAGUGGAUGGUGAAAUCCCUCGGCUUAACCGAGGAACUGCCAUCCAGACUGCUUGGCUUGAGACCGGGAGAGGUGAGUGGAAUUCCCAGUGUAGCGGUGAAAUGCGUAGAGAUGUGGAGGAACACCAGUGGCGAAGGCGACUCUUUGGCCUGUAACUGACGCUGAGGCGCGAAAGCGUGGGGAGCAAACAGG
This 253-nucleotide ribosomal RNA is filed under the name uncultured bacterium. RNAcentral describes it as "partial 16S ribosomal RNA". It matches the Rfam family "Bacterial small subunit ribosomal RNA", at positions 524 to 776 of the family's 1533-position model. The record is from RNAcentral.